This 86-nucleotide transfer RNA is filed under the name Colletotrichum higginsianum. Its description in RNAcentral is "tRNA CH063_16189". It matches the Rfam family "tRNA". Rfam says of the family: Transfer RNA (tRNA) molecules are approximately 80 nucleotides in length. Their secondary structure includes four short double-helical elements and three loops (D, anti-codon, and T loops). The record is from Rfam by way of RNAcentral. Lineage: Eukaryota; Fungi; Ascomycota; Sordariomycetes; Glomerellales; Glomerellaceae. RNAcentral also lists the same sequence under 1 other name.
GGGCGAUUGGCUCAGUGGUAGAGCGCCCGCUUUGCAUUGUCCACUUUGUCUGCGGGAGGCCCAGGGUUCAAUCCCCUGAUCGUCCA